CACCGCCCGUCACACCAUGGGAGUCGGUUUCACCCGAAGGCAGUGCGCUAACCGCAAGGAGGCAGCUGACCACGGUGGGAUCAGCGACUGGGGUG
Molecule: ribosomal RNA, 95 nt
Filed under: uncultured bacterium
Lineage: Bacteria
Description: partial 16S ribosomal RNA
Rfam family: Bacterial small subunit ribosomal RNA
Source: RNAcentral